Molecule: ribosomal RNA, 254 nt
Filed under: uncultured bacterium
Lineage: Bacteria
Description: partial 16S ribosomal RNA
Rfam family: Bacterial small subunit ribosomal RNA
Source: RNAcentral
UACAGAGGGUGCGAGCGUUGUUCGGAAUUACUGGGCGUAAAGCGCGCGCAGGCGGCUUUCUAAGUCCGUCGGUGAAAGACCGGGGCUCAACCCCGUGUCAGCCAUGGAUACUGGGAGGCUGGAGACAGGUAGAGGCAAGCGGAAUUCCGGGUGUAGCGGUGGAAUGCGUAGAUAUCAUGAGGAAUACCAGAGGCGAAAGCGGCUACCUGGACAAUUGCUGACGCUCAGGCACGAAAGCGUGGGGAGCAAAAGGG